Molecule: transfer RNA, 74 nt
Filed under: Rhodocyclaceae bacterium
Lineage: Bacteria; Pseudomonadati; Pseudomonadota; Betaproteobacteria; Rhodocyclales; Rhodocyclaceae
Description: tRNA-Cys
Rfam family: tRNA
About the family: Transfer RNA (tRNA) molecules are approximately 80 nucleotides in length.
Source: RNAcentral
GGCGCGAUGGCAGAGUGGCCAAUUGCGGCGGUGCGCAAAACCGCCUUCCGCCGGUUCGAAUCCGGCUCGCGCCU